CCCUAGCCCUGAUUGAGUGGUCUGUUUGAGCUCUUUUUUUUGGUUUCGGCGCGGCAGCGAAGCUGCCGCGCCGAAACCAAAAAAAAGCGAGUAGCGAAAGCGGGAAUUGCU
RNAcentral lists this unclassified non-coding RNA (111 nucleotides) under Chryseobacterium arachidis. RNAcentral describes it as "Flavo-1 RNA". Lineage: Bacteria; Pseudomonadati; Bacteroidota; Flavobacteriia; Flavobacteriales; Weeksellaceae. The record is from RNAcentral.